RNAcentral lists this ribosomal RNA (399 nucleotides) under uncultured bacterium. Its description in RNAcentral is "partial 16S ribosomal RNA". It matches the Rfam family "Bacterial small subunit ribosomal RNA", at positions 360 to 776 of the family's 1533-position model. The record is from RNAcentral.
AAUAUUGGACAAUGGGCGAAAGCCUGAUCCAGCCAUGCCGCGUGGAUGAUGACGGCCCUAGGGUUGUAAAGUCCUUUCGACGGGGAAGAUAAUGACGGUACCCGUAGAAGAAGCCCCUGCUAACUUCGUGCCAGCAGCCGCGGUAAUACGAAGGGGGCUAGCGUUGCUCGGAAUCACUGGGCGUAAAGCGCACGUAGGCGGCUUUUUAAGUCAGGGGUGAAAUCCUGGAGCUCAACUCCAGAACUGCCUUUGAUACUGGAGAGCUUGAGUUCGGGAGAGGUGAGUGGAACUGCGAGUGUAGAGGUGAAAUUCGUAGAUAUUCGCAAGAACACCAGUGGCGAAGGCAGCCCCCUGGGAUAAUACUGACGCUCAGACACGAAAGCGUGGGGAGCAAACAGG